Molecule: transfer RNA, 66 nt
Filed under: Pseudo-nitzschia fraudulenta
Lineage: Eukaryota; Bacillariophyta; Bacillariophyceae; Bacillariales; Bacillariaceae
Source: RNAcentral
CCAGGAACUUUUCAGUGGGGGGUACAGGAUUCGAACCUGUGAAGGCAAUGCCAACAGAUUUACAGU